CCAAGGCAAUGUGGUAUGGCACAGGGGAGUGGCAGAGGAAAAGCAGCUCAUGGCAUGGUGGCCAGGAAGCAGAGAGAUCAAGAGAUGAGCCUGGGAGGGAGAUAGACCCUUCCAGGCCACACCCCCAGUGAUCGUUCUCUUCUGACCAGACCCUACCUCCUAAUAGCAAGUCACCUGCAAACACCCAUAAUCCAAUCACCUCAAGAGGUCAGAAGGCCGGACUCAAUUUUCUAGUCAAGACAGAAGACUGGAAACCAGUGCCCACUGACGGUGCAAUAAAGAAGCAGCAAUUUCUUCGGAGUCCUGGAUUCUUUUAUUGGAGAAUAAUAUUUGGAAACUGAGAUCUUGGUGCUCACUGCUAUUGAGAUUAUAGCUACUCACUUCCAUCAAAUAGAGCAACACAUGUGCAGGAAUAAAGAUCAUUCCCUGAAGUAAACCCUUCCUCCCACUCCAGCAGACUUCCCCUCAUAUAUCUUUGGUCAGAAAUGGAUCAUAUAACUACAGAAGAGCUAGGAACGACAACCUAAAAAGGAAAAAGAGAGCUAGCAACCAACAAUGUUGGCAACCACAUUCAUGAAGGAAG
This 583-nucleotide long non-coding RNA is filed under the name Heterocephalus glaber (naked mole-rat). RNAcentral describes it as "lncRNA (ENSHGLG00100040213.1)". The record is from RNAcentral. Lineage: Eukaryota; Metazoa; Chordata; Mammalia; Rodentia; Bathyergidae.